UUAUAGACUUAUAGUGACUAUAUUUUUACAUAAAGUUUUCAAAAAAAAAUAUCUUAUUAUGUUAUAAUAUUUUGUUAAUUUUUACAUAAUAAGAAAAUAUAUAAUAUAUGGCUUAGAAUAUUUAAAUAUUAAAUUUUUGUUAGAGUUUGUCUCGAACUUUUAUUGGAUCAAACAAUUGUUUUGAAUUUAACAUUUCUAGUAUCAAAUAAUUGUUAUGUUGUGUUUUUAAAAUAUCAUAUUGUAGUAGAACUUUGUAUGUUGUUAUCAUAGAGAGUAUGACAUCUGUAUAUUAUUCUGCAAAUACUCAAUAAGACCAUCAUUCAACCUUGUUAACGCUUCUCGAAAGUUGUUAUGAAAUUGUCCAUCAUGUUGAAAGUUAGUUUCAGGUGGUCACCAUGAAAAACUGAACUAACUCUUUUCAAGCCAAAUUAUCAUUUUAAAUAUUAAUUAAUAUUAAAAUUCUUCAUAUGAUCUUUUAUAUUACUACUCGAGAUGAGUUCGUCAGUAGCAUUAAGAGUCUUUGUAAAUCCCUCACUAAUCGUAACAAUGCUUUGAUGAGCAUUGUUUGUGCAAAAAAUACACUUUCAUAUCAAGAAUGAUAUUCGUCUUCUCAAAUAUGUCAACAAAUAUAUGGUAAAAUAUGAAAAUAGAGAGAUAUCGUAAAACAAAAUAUUUUACAAUAAAUGAUAUAAUUUUAUUUUUAUGGGAUAAGACGAAUGAAAUUCAUAUAUGUAAUCUUAUCUUUUUGUUUCU
Molecule: small RNA, 753 nt
Filed under: Arabidopsis thaliana (thale cress)
Lineage: Eukaryota; Viridiplantae; Streptophyta; Magnoliopsida; Brassicales; Brassicaceae
Description: ATSL283580
Source: RNAcentral